Molecule: ribosomal RNA, 525 nt
Filed under: uncultured Pseudomonas sp.
Lineage: Bacteria; Pseudomonadati; Pseudomonadota; Gammaproteobacteria; Pseudomonadales; Pseudomonadaceae
Description: bacterial SSU rRNA
Rfam family: Bacterial small subunit ribosomal RNA
Source: RNAcentral
AGAGUUUGAUCCUGGCUCAGAUUGAACGCUGGCGGCAGGCCUAACACAUGCAAGUCGAGCGGCAGCACGGGUACUUGUACCUGGUGGCGAGCGGCGGACGGGUGAGUAAUGCCUAGGAAUCUGCCUAGUAGUGGGGGAUAACGUCCGGAAACGGGCGCUAAUACCGCAUACGUCCUACGGGAGAAAGUGGGGGAUCUUCGGACCUCACGCUAUUAGAUGAGCCUAGGUCGGAUUAGCUAGUUGGUGAGGUAAUGGCUCACCAAGGCGACGAUCCGUAACUGGUCUGAGAGGAUGAUCAGUCACACUGGAACUGAGACACGGUCCAGACUCCUACGGGAGGCAGCAGUGGGGAAUAUUGGACAAUGGGCGAAAGCCUGAUCCAGCCAUGCUGCGUGUGUGAAGAAGGUCUUCGGAUUGUAAAGCACUUUAAGUUGGGAGGAAGGGCAGUUACCUAAUACGUGAUUGUUUUGACGUUACCGACAGAAUAAGCACCGGCUAACUCUGUGCCAGCAGCCGCGGUAAUAC